GGCGGGGUAGCUCAGCCUGGUUUGAGCGCCGGACUCAUAAUCCGGAGGUCCCGGGUUCAAAUCCCGGCCCCGCCA
Molecule: transfer RNA, 75 nt
Filed under: Candidatus Korarchaeota archaeon NZ13-K
Lineage: Archaea; Thermoproteati; Thermoproteota
Also listed under: 1 other name
Description: tRNA-Met
Rfam family: tRNA
About the family: Transfer RNA (tRNA) molecules are approximately 80 nucleotides in length. Their secondary structure includes four short double-helical elements and three loops (D, anti-codon, and T loops).
Source: RNAcentral